GUGAGGAAUAUUGGUCAAUGGACGGAAGUCUGAACCAGCCAAGUAGCGUGCAGGAUGACGGCCCUAUGGGUUGUAAACUGCUUUUAUGCGGGGGUAAAGUGAGUGACGUGUCAUUCAUUGCAAGUACCGCAAGAAUAAGGACCGGCUAAUUCCGUGCCAGCAGCCGCGGUAAUACGGAAGGUCCUGGUGUUAUCCGGAUUUAUUGGGUUUAAAGGGAGCGUAGGCCGUCAGGCAAGCGUGUUGUGAAAUGUCGUGGCUCAACCAUGGACUUGCAGCGCGAACUGCCCGACUUGAGUGCGCGGAAAGCAGGCGGAAUUUGUGGUGUAGCGGUGAAAUGCUUAGAUAUCACGAAGAACCCCGAUUGCGAAGGCAGCCUGCUGUAGCGCUACUGACGCUGAAGCUCGAAAGUGCGGGUAUCGAACAGGAUUAGAUACCCCUGUAGUCC
RNAcentral lists this ribosomal RNA (445 nucleotides) under uncultured bacterium. Its description in RNAcentral is "partial 16S ribosomal RNA". It matches the Rfam family "Bacterial small subunit ribosomal RNA", at positions 354 to 796 of the family's 1533-position model. The record is from RNAcentral.